Molecule: small nucleolar RNA, 75 nt
Organism: Talpa occidentalis (Iberian mole)
Lineage: Eukaryota; Metazoa; Chordata; Mammalia; Eulipotyphla; Talpidae
Product: small nucleolar RNA SNORD113/SNORD114 family
Exons: 1
Source: RefSeq, a predicted model, not a curated record
UGGACCGAUGAUGACAACUGCCGGCGUAUGAGUCGAGGAUCAUGAAUGGCCUGUGUCUGGAACUCUGAGGUCCGA